AGACGUUGAUGGCUCGUGACACAUUCAGAAUACACGGGCGUUGGUGACAGUGUGGGGUGACACCAGGCGACGUGGGGCGGGAUGCUGUCUGAAAUGGGGCGUGGCCUCUCACACACAGGCGGGAUUUCUAAUAAAAAAUAACUCCUUGCCUCUUUGGGCGGCGAGAUGCACAUACACACACACACACAUACACACAUAGCAUACACAUAAGCGAGAAUAGAGCAAAAAGAGAGCACGGACGUCCAGAGCACUUCCUCGUUUUCCUGUUGCACUUCAUGUUUCGAAGCU
Caenorhabditis elegans is the source of this 288-nucleotide non-coding RNA. The record is from Ensembl. Lineage: Eukaryota; Metazoa; Nematoda; Chromadorea; Rhabditida; Rhabditidae.